UGGGAGAAGCUUAGAGGUUCUUGGAACUCUGUUUAUAUCACAGCAAAUUUCGGCAUGGAGGCCGAAAUAGAAGCAACGCAGCCAUGGAGGGCUGCUUUGCUUCGGUUGCGUCCGGUUGAGAAGAUAAAAUGCAGAGUUCCUAGAACAUCUUAGCUUCGGAC
Molecule: non-coding RNA, 161 nt
Filed under: pig gut metagenome
Source: RNAcentral